CCUACGGGAGGCAGCAGUAGGGAAUCUUCCACAAUGGGCGAAAGCCUGAUGGAGCAAAGCCGCGUGGGUGAAGAAGGUCUUCGGAUCGUAAAACCCUGUUGUUAGAGAAGAAAGGGCGUGAGAGUAACUGUUCACGUUUCGACGGUAUCUAACCAGAAAGCCACGGCUAACUACGUGCCAGCCGCCGCGGUAAUACGUAGGGGGCAAGCGUUAUCCGGAUUUAUUGGGCGUAAAGGGAACGCAGGCGGUCUUUUAAGUCUGAUGUGAAAGCCUUCGGCUUAACCGGAGUAGUGCAUUGGAAACUGGGAGACUUGAGUGCAGAAGAGGAGAGUGGAACUCCAUGUGUAGCGGUGAAAUGCGUAGAUAUAAGGAAGAACCCCAGUGGCGAAAGCGGCUUUCUGGUCUGUAACUGACGCUGAGGUUCGAAAGCGUGGGUAGCAAACAGGAUUAGAUACCCGAGUAGUC
This 465-nucleotide ribosomal RNA is filed under the name uncultured bacterium. RNAcentral's name for it is "partial 16S ribosomal RNA". It matches the Rfam family "Bacterial small subunit ribosomal RNA", at positions 338 to 795 of the family's 1533-position model. The record is from RNAcentral.